Molecule: ribosomal RNA, 810 nt
Filed under: uncultured Propionibacteriaceae bacterium
Lineage: Bacteria; Bacillati; Actinomycetota; Actinomycetes; Propionibacteriales; Propionibacteriaceae
Description: SSU rRNA
Rfam family: Bacterial small subunit ribosomal RNA
Source: RNAcentral
CAUGCAAGUCGAACGGAAAGGCCCUGCUUUUGUGGGGUGCUCGAGUGGCGAACGGGUGAGUAACACGUGAGUAACCUGCCCUUGACUUUGGGAUAACUUCAGGAAACUGGGGCUAAUACCGGAUAGGAGCUCCUGCUGCAUAGUGGGGGUUGGAAAGUUUCGGCGGUUGGGGAUGGACUCGCGGCUUAUCAGCUUGUUGGUGGGGUAGUGGCUUACCAAGGCUUUGACGGGUAGCCGGCCUGAGAGGGUGACCGGCCACAUUGGGACUGAGAUACGGCCCAGACUCCUACGGGAGGCAGCAGUGGGGAAUAUUGCACAAUGGGCGGAAGCCUGAUGCAGCAACGCCGCGUGCGGGAUGACGGCCUUCGGGUUGUAAACCGCUUUCGCCUGUGACGAAGCGUGAGUGACGGUAAUGGGUAAAGAAGCACCGGCUAACUACGUGCCAGCAGCCGCGGUGAUACGUAGGGUGCGAGCGUUGUCCGGAUUUAUUGGGCGUAAAGGGCUCGUAGGUGGUUGAUCGCGUCGGAAGUGUAAUCUUGGGGCUUAACCCUGAGCGUGCUUUCGAUACGGGUUGACUUGAGGAAGGUAGGGGAGAAUGGAAUUCCUGGUGGAGCGGUGGAAUGCGCAGAUAUCAGGAGGAACACCAGUGGCGAAGGCGGUUCUCUGGGCCUUUCCUGACGCUGAGGAGCGAAAGCGUGGGGAGCGAACAGGCUUAGAUACCCUGGUAGUCCACGCUGUAAACGGUGGGUACUAGGUGUGGGGUCCAUUCCACGGGUUCCGUGCCGUAGCUAACGCUUUAAGUACCCCGCC